UACGUAGGGUCCAAGCGUUAUCCGGAAUCGCUGGGCGUAAAGCGUGCGUUGGCGGAUGUUUAAGUGUGAUGCGAAAUCCUGGGGCUCAACCUCAUGGACUGUAUUGCAUACUGGAUAUCUAGAGGAUAUGAGAGGCAAGUGGAAUUCCUGGUGUAGCGGUGAAAUGCGCAGAUAUCAGGAGGAACACCGGUGGCGAAGGCGGGUCUCUGGGCCGAUACUGACGCUGAGGAGCGAAAGCGUGGGGAGCGAACAGG
This 254-nucleotide ribosomal RNA is filed under the name uncultured bacterium. RNAcentral's name for it is "partial 16S ribosomal RNA". It matches the Rfam family "Bacterial small subunit ribosomal RNA", at positions 524 to 776 of the family's 1533-position model. The record is from RNAcentral.